RNAcentral lists this ribosomal RNA (407 nucleotides) under uncultured bacterium. RNAcentral describes it as "partial 16S ribosomal RNA". It matches the Rfam family "Bacterial small subunit ribosomal RNA", at positions 30 to 526 of the family's 1533-position model. The record is from RNAcentral.
AUUGAACGCUAGCGGGAUGCCUUACACAUGCACGUCGAACGGAGUGGCGAACGGGUGAGUAAUGUAUCGGAACGUGCCCAGUAGCGGGGGAUAACUACGCGAAAGCGUAGCUAAUACCGCAUACUUUUGCAGUGGCCGAUAUCGUAUGAGCUAGUUGGUGGUGUAACGGCUCACCAGGGCGACGAGCCGUAGCUUGUUUGAGAGGACGACCAGCCACACUGUGCCUGAGCCACUUCCCAGACUCCUACGGAAGGCAGCAUUGGGAAAUUUUGGACAAUGGGGGAAACCCUGAUCCAGCCAUCCCGCGUUUGCGAUGAAGGCCUUCGGGUUGCAAAGCACUUUUGGCAGGAAAGCGGUACCUGCAGAAUAAGCACCGGCUAACUACGUGCCAGCCUCCGCGGUAAUAC